UACAGAGGGUGAAAGCGUUGUUCGGAAUUAUUGGGCGUAAAGCGCGUGUAGGCGGCUUUGCAAGUCGGGUGUGAAAGCCCUCGGCUCAACCGAGGAAGUGCGCCCGAAACUGCAGAGCUUGAGUACCGGAGAGGAUGGCGGAAUUCCCCAAGUAGAGGUGAAAUUCGUUGAUAUGGGGAGGAACACCGGUGGCGAAGGCGGCCAUCUGGACGGAUACUGACGCUGAGACGCGAAAGCGUGGGUAGCAAACAGG
RNAcentral lists this ribosomal RNA (253 nucleotides) under uncultured bacterium. Its description in RNAcentral is "partial 16S ribosomal RNA". It matches the Rfam family "Bacterial small subunit ribosomal RNA", at positions 524 to 776 of the family's 1533-position model. The record is from RNAcentral.